UACGUAGGUGGCAAGCGUUGUGCGGAAUUACUGGGUGUAAAGGGCGUGUAGGCGGGACUGGAAGUCAGAUGUGAAAUUUCCAGGCUCAACCUGGGGGCUGCAUCUGAAACUGUGGUUCUUGAGUGCUGGAGAGGAAAGCGGAAUUCCUAGUGUAGCGGUGAAAUGCGUAGAUAUUAGGAGGAACACCAGUGGCGAAGGCGGCUUUCUGGACAGUAACUGACGCUGAGGCGCGAAAGCGUGGGGAGCAAACAGG
Molecule: ribosomal RNA, 253 nt
Filed under: uncultured bacterium
Lineage: Bacteria
Description: partial 16S ribosomal RNA
Rfam family: Bacterial small subunit ribosomal RNA
Source: RNAcentral